Molecule: ribosomal RNA, 250 nt
Filed under: uncultured bacterium
Lineage: Bacteria
Description: partial 16S ribosomal RNA
Rfam family: Bacterial small subunit ribosomal RNA
Source: RNAcentral
GGAAUCGUGCGCAAUGGACGCAAGUCUGACGCCGCGACGCCGCGUGGAGGAUGAAGGCCUUCGGGUCGUAAACUCCUUUUGCCAUAUCAGAGAUGAUAUGGAGAAUAAGCACCCGCUAACUUCGUGCCAGCAGCUGCGGUAAUACGGAGGGUGCAAGCGUUGUCCGGAUUUACUGGGCGUAAAGCGUUUCGCAGGUCGUUGUGUAAGUCGUGCUUCAAAGCCUGGGGCUUAACCCCAGACAGGGGUGCGA